GUGUUUAUUAAUUCAACAAUAUAGAGAAUACAAAGCAAUUUAGCAAUUGGCUUCUAUCUGUUACUCUCUACAAACUAACCAGAUGAACUUUGUAUUUAUAGGUCAACCCUAGAAGAGUCCUAAAAUGCAAGAAAAUAUAUUACAAUUAGGAGACCCAAUUUCAACAGGAUUUUGUCUCCUUUUAUUGGAUGCAAUUAGAUUCCCUUUCCAAAUAAAAGUCUAACAUGCAUCUUCAAAAGACUCCUAAUCGAUUUCUAGGAUUCCACUU
This 268-nucleotide long non-coding RNA is filed under the name Olea europaea (common olive). RNAcentral's name for it is "long non-coding RNA (OEUR_LNC007232)". Lineage: Eukaryota; Viridiplantae; Streptophyta; Magnoliopsida; Lamiales; Oleaceae. The record is from RNAcentral.